This 235-nucleotide ribosomal RNA is filed under the name uncultured Actinomycetales bacterium. RNAcentral describes it as "partial 16S ribosomal RNA". It matches the Rfam family "Bacterial small subunit ribosomal RNA", at positions 96 to 334 of the family's 1533-position model. The record is from RNAcentral. Lineage: Bacteria; Bacillati; Actinomycetota; Actinomycetes; Actinomycetales.
UGGCGAACGGGUGAGUAACACGUGUGUGAUCUGCCCUGCACUCUGGGAUAAGCCUGGGAAACUGGGUCUAAUACCGGAUAGGACCAUGCUUUAGUGUGUGUGGUGGAAAGUUUUUUCGGUGUAGGAUGAGCCCGCGGCCUAUCAGCUUGUUGGUGGGGUAAUGGCCUACCAAGGCGGCGAUGGGUAGCCGGACUGAGAGGUUGGUCGGCCACAUUGGGACUGAGAUACGGCCCAG